AAUUAAAAAAGUUUGGCGGUAAUAUAGCCUUAUUAGAGGAACCUGUAGAAUAAAUGAUAUUCCACAAAAAUCUUACUUAAAUUAGUAAUUUCAAUUUAUAUACCGCCGUUAAGAUUUAUUUAAAAGGAUGAUUUCAAAAAAAUAAUAAUAAAAAUUCAGGUCAAGGUGUAGUUUAUAUUUAAGUUCUUAUGGGUUACAAUAAAAGUAUUUAAACGGAUGUUAAUUGCAAUAUUUAAUAUGAAGGUGGAUUUAAUUGUAAAAUAAUAUAAUAAAGGUUUUUUGAAUAAGUACUAAAUUAUGC
RNAcentral lists this ribosomal RNA (301 nucleotides) under Scolopocryptops macrodon. RNAcentral describes it as "partial 12S ribosomal RNA". The record is from RNAcentral. Lineage: Eukaryota; Metazoa; Arthropoda; Chilopoda; Scolopendromorpha; Cryptopidae.